Molecule: ribosomal RNA, 379 nt
Filed under: uncultured bacterium
Lineage: Bacteria
Description: partial 16S ribosomal RNA
Rfam family: Bacterial small subunit ribosomal RNA
Source: RNAcentral
UGGGGAAUAUUGCACAAUGGGCGCAAGCCUGAUGCAGCCAUGCCGCGUGUAUGAAGAAGGCCUUCGGGUUGUAAAGUACUUUCAGCGGGGAGGAAGGCGAUAAGGUUAAUAACCUUGUCGAUUGACGUUACCCGCAGAAGAAGCACCGGCUAACUCCGUGCCAGCAGCCGCGGUAAUACGGAGGGUGCAAGCGUUAAUCGGAAUUACUGGGCGUAAAGCGCACGCAGGCGGUCUGUCAAGUCGGAUGUGAAAUCCCCGGGCUCAACCUGGGAACUGCAUUCGAAACUGGCAGGCUAGAGUCUUGUAGAGGGGGGUAGAAUUCCAGGUGUAGCGGUGAAAUGCGUAGAGAUCUGGAGGAAUACCGGUGGCGAAGGCGGCC